This 148-nucleotide non-coding RNA is filed under the name Pan paniscus (pygmy chimpanzee). RNAcentral also lists the same sequence under 1 other name. The record is from Rfam by way of RNAcentral. Lineage: Eukaryota; Metazoa; Chordata; Mammalia; Primates; Hominidae.
GCUGGGCGUGGUGAUGCAUGCCUGUAAUCCCAGCUACCGGGGAGGCUGAGGCAGGAGAAUCGCUUGAGCCCAGUUGGCAGAGGUUGCAGUGAGCCAAGAUCAUGGCACUGCACUUCAGCCUGGGCAACACAGCAAGACUCUGCCUCAA